This 305-nucleotide ribosomal RNA is filed under the name uncultured bacterium. RNAcentral's name for it is "bacterial SSU rRNA". It matches the Rfam family "Bacterial small subunit ribosomal RNA", at positions 333 to 636 of the family's 1533-position model. The record is from RNAcentral.
GGCUGCCUACGGGGCGCAGCAGUGAGGAAUAUUGGUCAAUGGCCGAGAGGCUGAACCAGCCAAGCCGCGUGAGGGAAGACGGCCCUACGGGUUGUAAACCUCUUUUGUCGGGGAGCAAAGCGAACCACGUGUGGUUCAUUGAGAAUACCCGAAGAAAAAGCAUCGGCUAACUCCGUGCCAGCAGCCGCGGUAAUACGGAGGAUGCGAGCGUUAUCCGGAUUUAUUGGGUUUAAAGGGUGCGUAGGCGGGCUUUUAAGUCAGCGGUAAAAAUUCGGGGCUCAACCCCGUCCGGCCGUUGAAACUGG